UAUACAUUUCAGGUAUAAACUUCAAAAUGAUAACGGUUCUCAAGAUAUAGAGCGAACACAAUCUUUACCAUAGGACAUGGGGUUGUCAACUGAAACCAAAGUUUUUGACCUUGAACUUUACCCUAGGCAGUCGUUCAUAAAUUAUGACACACCCUUUGGUGUUGGUUCAUAUACAUGUCAAGUAUAAACUUUGAAAUCAUAACGGUUCUCAAGAUAUAGAGCGGACACGAUCUUCACCACAGGACACAGGGUUGUCAACUGAAACCAAAGUUUUUUUACCUUGACUUUUGACCUAGGAAGUUGCACAUACAUCAUGACACGCCCUCUGGUGGUGGUUAAUAAACAUGUAAAGUAUAAAGUAUGAAAUCAUAAUGGUUCUCUAGAUAUGGAGCGGACACAAGUGUUACGGACGGAUGGACGGACGGACGGACGGACGGACAGACUGAUCACUAUAGGGUACCCGCCUAAAGGCG
This 473-nucleotide long non-coding RNA is filed under the name Mytilus galloprovincialis (Mediterranean mussel). Lineage: Eukaryota; Metazoa; Mollusca; Bivalvia; Mytilida; Mytilidae. The record is from RNAcentral.